Molecule: long non-coding RNA, 885 nt
Organism: Myripristis murdjan (pinecone soldierfish)
Lineage: Eukaryota; Metazoa; Chordata; Actinopteri; Holocentriformes; Holocentridae
Exons: 3
Source: RefSeq, a predicted model, not a curated record
AGAACUUUUGUCCCCUCGGAGAAAUGAUCUGUCACUGUAUGACAUCCUCAGCAGCCAAACAAUGUAUCCCUCAGCCAAACAAUAUAAAGAGAUUUUAAGCCUGUUCAUACGCAGAUGUCCCUUCAUGCGGGAGAAAAUUGGUUCAGGACAUGAUGAUUUACGUGAGUCUCUAACAAGUUCAAAAAGGAAAGGCGACCCCUUAUUGGUGACUCAAUGGUGCAACAAAUGUGUCCAAAAUUUUCUGUGGCAGGAUCUGGAAAGAAGCACCAUACUCCGGGUCAACCAAGUCUUUGGAAACAACACAUAACUUAAGCAUACUUUUUAAAAAAUGAUCAUGUACACCUCAUCUUAGUGGUUACCUCUUACCAUAUUGUUGUGUCAUUUUUCAUGCAUCAUAGGCUCAGGAAGAUGGAGACUUUGGAGUGGAUGAAAGGACCAUUCAAGCUCAUAUCCAAAAUAUGUCUACAGAGAUGCUUAAAGUACACUUUGGUAACAAUUUUAGUUUAUGUUUGGGGUCAAACUGACCCCUAAAAGAUGUUAGUAAAUUUGAACAUAACAGGAGGGUUAAUGUGGAAACUUUGUGGUGUUCCCUCACUUUUAUCUGAUUCUAUUCCACUCCACUGUGCCCAUAUGCUGAUUGCUCUCAUUGGACCAUGCAUUAUUUUAUUGUUUGUAGAUAGUUAACUGCUUCAUCUGGUGCAGUGUAAGUCUACCUUGGAUUGAUGCUUUUAUCUUCUCUCUCUGCCAUGUCACCAUUGCUGGAGAUUACAUGAUGUGAUUAUGAUGCAUAAUUACAGCAUGAUGCGUCUGGCCUGAGUCCUAUCAUCAUGUUGCUGAUUCCACAGGACCUAUGCUCACUUUUGACUUGUUUUCCCCUCGGACCUA